This 489-nucleotide ribosomal RNA is filed under the name uncultured bacterium. RNAcentral describes it as "partial 16S ribosomal RNA". It matches the Rfam family "Bacterial small subunit ribosomal RNA", at positions 28 to 507 of the family's 1533-position model. The record is from RNAcentral.
GACGAACGCUGGCGGCGUGCUUAACACAUGCAAGUCGAACGGUGAAGGGAUCAGCUUGCUGGUUCUGGAUGAGUGGCGAACGGGUGAGUAACACGUGAGUAACCUGCCCCCUUCUUCUGGAUAACCGCAUGAAAGUGUGGCUAAUACGGGAUAUUCUGGGUCUGUCGCAUGAUGGGUCUGGGAAAGAUAUUGUUUCGGUGGGGGAUGGGCUCGCGGCCUAUCAGCUUGUUGGUGGGGUGAUGGCCUACCAAGGCGGUGACGGGUAGCCGGCCUGAGAGGGGGGACGGUCACACUGGGACUGAGACACGGCCCAGACUCCUACGGGAGGGAGCAGUGGGGAAUAUUGCACAAUGGGCGCAAGCCUGAUGCAGCGACGCCGCGUGAGGGAGGGAGGGCUUCGGGUUGUAAACCUCUUUCGCCAGUGAAGCAGGCCUGCUCCUUGUGGGUGGGUUGACGGUAGCUGGAUAAGAAGCGCCGGCUAACUACGUG